Molecule: non-coding RNA, 835 nt
Filed under: Sphaeroderma testaceum
Lineage: Eukaryota; Metazoa; Arthropoda; Insecta; Coleoptera; Chrysomelidae
Source: RNAcentral
UAAGGGCCCGGUCUAUAUUUUAAUGAUAUUUUUAGUUUAUAAGAAAAUUCUCGGGCCCCCCUAUAAAUUAUGUUUGCUUUUAAAAUAAUAGUACAAAAAGUUUUAUUUUAGCUUAAAAAUUGGGUUUUAUUUUUAUUUAUAUAUAUAUUUAUUUUGAGAAUAAUUUGUAGUAAUUAAAUUUAAUUAUUUAAGAAAUUAAGAAUUAGAAAUUAUAAUUAAUUUAAACAAAAUUUGUGCCAGCAGUUGCGGUUAAACAAAUUAUAUAACUUAAUUUUUUUAGUUAUAAUAAAUUUAUUUUUAAUUUAGGUUUGAAAAUUUAUUAAGUGAAAUUUUAAAUUUUUAAAAUAAAUUUUAUAAAAUAAUGAUUUAAGAAAUUUUAUUUGUAAACUAGGAUUAGAUACCCUAUUAUUUAAAAAUGUAGUUUUUGUACUAAAUUAUUAAUAGUUAUGUUCUUUAAAAUUAAAAAAUUUGGCGGUAUUUUAGUCUUUUCAGAGGAACCUGUUUUAUAAAUGAUAGUCCACGAUUUAAUUUACUUUUAUUAUAAAUUUAUAUAUCAUCGUUAUUAAAUAUUUUUUUAGAAUAUAAUAUUUAAGAUUUUUAAUUAAAAAUUAAAUCAGAUCAAGGUGUAGUUUAUAUAAAAGUAUAAAUGGGUUACAUUAAGUUUACUUUUAAGAUAAUUAUUUUUAUAGUAUUUUGAAUUUGGAUUUGAUAGUAAUUUUUAUUAAUUAAUAAAAAUGAUUUAGCUCUAAAAUAUGUACAUAUUGCCCGUCGCUUUCAUUUAAAAUGGAAUAAGUCGUAACAAAGUAGAUUUACUGGAAAGUGUAUCUAGAUUCAA